This 301-nucleotide ribosomal RNA is filed under the name uncultured bacterium. Its description in RNAcentral is "partial 16S ribosomal RNA". It matches the Rfam family "Bacterial small subunit ribosomal RNA", at positions 509 to 807 of the family's 1533-position model. The record is from RNAcentral.
CAGUAGCCGCGGUAAUACGGAGGGGGCUAGCGUUGUUCGGAAUUACUGGGCAUAAAGCGCACGUAGGCGGCUUGGUAAGUUAGAGGUGAAAGCCCAGGGCUCAACCCAUAGUCUGCACGGGAAACUGUCGGGCUUGAGAAUGGGAGAGGUGAGUGGAAUUUCCGGUGUAGCGGUGAAAUGCGUAGAUAUCGGAAGGAACACUUGUGGCGAAAGCGGCUCACUGGACCAUAACUGACGCUGAAGCACGAAGGCUAGGGGAGCAAACAGGAUUAGAUACCCCAGUAGUCCCUGUCUCUUAUAC